AACAAAUGCUGAGAAGGAGCCUCUGCUGCCUGGGUACGUGAAUGACCACGGUGAACAGAGGGCUCAGUAAGGAACCCUGACGGACUGGUUUCAACUACUGUAGUGGGGGAAGACAAUCUGAUAUGAGAAAAAUGGAGACUUAAGGAAGAAAGAAGUUUUCCCCAUGAUGGCAUGAAGAAAAGCCACACAGUCCUCUGGCGGGAACCAUUAGAGGAAGGGACUAACAUUGUUCUCCCCUGAGUCUCUUCUUUGAGGCAGGGAGAAGACCCUGGAACAUCUGCAGGUGCAGAGAAA
This is a long non-coding RNA of Homo sapiens (human), 294 nucleotides long. RefSeq lists it as uncharacterized. NCBI's taxonomy places the organism in Eukaryota, Metazoa, Chordata, Mammalia, Primates, Hominidae. The transcript has 3 exons. The record is from RefSeq and is a predicted model, not a curated record.